Molecule: ribosomal RNA, 252 nt
Filed under: uncultured bacterium
Lineage: Bacteria
Description: partial 16S ribosomal RNA
Rfam family: Bacterial small subunit ribosomal RNA
Source: RNAcentral
ACGAAGGAUCCAAGCGUUGUCCGGAUUUACUGGGUUUAAAGGAUGCGUAGGCGGACACUUAAGCCAGUGGUGAAAUCCCAUAGCUCAACUAUGGAACUGCCAUUGGAACUGUGUGUCUUGAAUUCGGUUGAGGUAGAUGGAAUAUAACAUGUAGCGGUGAAAUGCUUAGAUAUGUUAUAGAACACCGAUUGCGAAGGCAGUCUACUAAGCCGACAUUGACGCUGAGGCAUGAAAGCGUGGGGAGCGAACAGG